UUGUGGUUUUUUGUUUUUGCAGCUUGCAGAGCUGACAGGGCUGGGAGACUUGAUCGUGGGCCAGUGGGAAGACGAGAUUCGCUCAAGGGAAAGGUUACCCGGCAACAGUUGCACGACGGGGAGAUGACUUCUGAGGAGCAAAAAGACAAUAUAUGUAAGAUUGGAUUUCCCAAGAGACAAAACUCCAGCAGCAGAUUACACAAUUAUUUGCCAAGUUAUGCAGAGGGAGGUUUUUCGGCUGCAUUUUCCAAAGUAUUGUCCUGGAAAAACUAACCGUGUGAAACUGCUUUGCCAAAAACGUAUCCCAUAACACUUGCAGAAUACAUAUAUCUCCAGAUAUGUCCACCCCUUGGCCUGCAGGCUCCGUGCAGCCUCAGACAGCUGGCAGCUCAGCCCCCCAAGAUGGGAAACUGUUAACGUUCUCCCACGACUUUUAGCAAUAUUUUUCAGGAUUCUUCGCUCAAACAUGGAUUGAGUGGGGGACAGAGAAACUCCACUAACUCUGCUUCCUGCGCUGGCUGCCCAGUUGGUGGAAUUGAAAACCUUUUUAAAAAUGUGAUCACAAAAAAUAUUUUGAAAAGAAGUUUUGUUUCUUGGAUACACAAGCUACAGUAUAUAUUUCACAUGUGGCCCAAGACAGUUCCUUUCCAGUCAAGGUGGCCCUGGGACUCCAAACUAUCCGGCGCCUGUGUGUCUAACAGCAUCAUGACAAUUGAUCUCCCAUCCACCAGUCUGUUUGGGGUCUUUAUGAGACCUUUAAUUUGUGUUUGGUUUGCUUAAGGGGGGUAAAAAAAGAAUUAAAAAAAAAAAAAAA
This is a long non-coding RNA of Chinchilla lanigera (long-tailed chinchilla), 814 nucleotides long. RefSeq lists it as uncharacterized. The record is from RefSeq and is a predicted model, not a curated record. The transcript has 2 exons. NCBI's taxonomy places the organism in Eukaryota, Metazoa, Chordata, Mammalia, Rodentia, Chinchillidae.